Long non-coding RNA from Gasterosteus aculeatus aculeatus (three-spined stickleback), 945 nucleotides. The record is from Ensembl. Lineage: Eukaryota; Metazoa; Chordata; Actinopteri; Perciformes; Gasterosteidae.
CAUAGGCAUGACUGAUACAGCAGUACUUGCAAGACGAGCAUACAAACAGACACGUGUGUUACUAUGUUCAGAAGAACUGUAUCUCCAGUUCCUUUGUUUGGUUUUUGCUGGUUCGUGAAUAAUGGCGGGACGACGUCUCGCGUUCAACUCGCCUUCAACUCCUCUCCGCGGUCACCAACUUUCGGCCAGUCCGCAGACAGACGAGAAGAAGCUGCUGAAUGCUCUCAGUGGAUCGUCUCGUCAACUCCAACAACAAACUGCCAAUAUCAACGAGCGGUUCGCUCCACUGGAGCGUUCAGGACUCUGCGGGUUUCUGUCCAUGGAGGAGAGGAACCGACUCAAAGAAGAGGAGACGGGCGCACAAUCCCACGAUAGCGGAAGCGGUGCGCCGUCUUCACAACUCCGAGACGAACUACAGGCGCUACGAACCCGAGCAAGGACUAAUGUCGCCUCAUAAUGAGGCGGUGACCUCGUAUUUGCUCCGGGAAAAGUCCAGAUUUAGACGACGUCAUUGUGUCCGCCUGUGAGACGUAUUGUGAGACUGUACGCAGGAGCUUCAGGUUCAGCCGGAACACUCACUGCGGGCUGAAACUGCGAAGGAUUCAGCGCGGAGUCGAGCGAGAAGAAAGAGGCUGCUGGAAUCGAGACAAAGUGCUGGCUGAUGACGAGGUGGAAAUCCGCCACCGUGGAGCUCACGUCGGACGGAGGGGACGGCGUUGUUGGCGGGGUCUCGGGGUGGAUUGUACGGUCGCCACCCGCACACGAGGCGCCUGCACAACAGACCUGCCUCGGAAAACACGGCGCCAGUGACGGUCAACAACCCCGAGGAGGCAGACGGACAGUUUACUGAGCUGUAGUUUUUAAACCGCCGUUACCCAAGUGUGGGCAGAUCCUCACUUUGUAUGUAGUUGUUGUUGUUGUGUUGUUAAUAAAGCUCUUUCUUUG